Molecule: long non-coding RNA, 952 nt
Organism: Colius striatus (speckled mousebird)
Lineage: Eukaryota; Metazoa; Chordata; Aves; Coliiformes; Coliidae
Exons: 4
Source: RefSeq, a predicted model, not a curated record
CGCAGUACGAGUCCCACAGCCACUGGUGCACCCGCCGCGCGUACUCCGCCGCGCUCAGCGCCUUCGCCCCGCCGCCCUCCUCCCCGCCGGCCGCCGCGGGGGAGCUCGGCGGCGGCGGCGACGCGGCUGCAUUCGCCUCCCCUCCGGCGCCGCCGCCGCUCUCCGCCAUCGCCGCUGCCCCAGCGCCGGGCCGGCCCGGGCCGGGCCCCGACUCCGCCAUCUCCUCCGUCCCCUCCUGACGCUGAGCGCCUGCGCCACGGACUCGCCUCGCCUCGCCUCGCCUGUCCCACUACCGCUCUGCAGGCGGGGGGAGAAACAGAGCAAGCAACCGGCCGCCAGGCGGCGUGCUCGCAGCACCCACUGUGCCGCUGCGCCAGGCGACAGCCGAGCUUCCCCCGCCGUGAGAUGGUGUCGCCCACGGCAGGGGCGGGAACGCGGGCCGCGCGGGGCGGGUCGCAGCGCCCCUGAGGUAAAAGGCGGAGCGGCGGGGCGGAGCCGCCGGUUCGGGGAGCGGAGCGUGUCGUGUUCGUGCCAUCGGCACUGGAAGAACGGAAGGCAUGUAGUUUUUGUUUAGCAUAGAUACCAGGGUUUCUCGCCGCCGGUUCCUCGCGUCGCGCAGGGAGCCGCCCCCCCAGCCCCUCAGGGGGAGCCGCCGCCCCCUGGCCGGGCCCCACACGGAUGGUUCUUCUCUUCAACCAGAGCCCCCACGCAUUGAGCUGAGUUGCAGGAGACCGCAGCACACAAGUUAUGAGUGAGGGAGGCCGCGGCAAAAACUGGAAUUCCAGGGGCGGCUGCAGCGUGGAUUUUCUUCAGCUCCUUCAACCUCUCCCUCACCCAAGGACUUGAAGAAUGAGGAUAUCUCAGUUUUAUAGCCUCCUGCGAAACGAGACUGCUGGCAAGGAUCCCUAGGCACAUACGGGACUGGGCUGCUUAGGUGGAAGGGGCACGUCCC